Molecule: ribosomal RNA, 252 nt
Filed under: uncultured bacterium
Lineage: Bacteria
Description: partial 16S ribosomal RNA
Rfam family: Bacterial small subunit ribosomal RNA
Source: RNAcentral
UACGUAGGUGGCAAGCGUUGUCCGGAUUUACUGGGCGUAAAGAGCGCGCAGGCGGUCGUUCAAGUCGCGUGUGAAAGCCCCCGGCUCAACUGGGGAGGGUCACGCGAUACUGAUCGACUCGAAGGCAGGAGAGGGUAGUGGAAUUCCCGGUGUAGUGGUGAAAUGCGUAGAUAUCGGGAGGAACACCAGUGGCGAAGGCGACUACCUGGCCUGUUCUUGACGCUGAGGCGCGAAAGCUAGGGGAGCAACGGG